RNAcentral lists this unclassified non-coding RNA (391 nucleotides) under soil metagenome. RNAcentral's name for it is "partial contains 5.8S ribosomal RNA, internal transcribed spacer 2, and large subunit ribosomal RNA". The stretch from base 1 to 122 matches the Rfam family "5.8S ribosomal RNA", at positions 35 to 154 of the family's 154-position model. The record is from RNAcentral.
GAUGAAGAACGUAGCGAAAUGCGAUACUUGGUGUGAAUUGCAGAAUCCCGUGAACCAUCGAGUCUUUGAACGCAAGUUGCGCCCGAAGCCAUUAGGCCGAGGGCACGCCUGCCUGGGCGUCACACGUCGUUGCCCCCCCAUCUACUCCUUCGGGAUGGCGGGGGGCGGAUGAUGGCCUCCCGUGCGCCUCGCCGCGCGGUUGGCAUAAAUGCCAAGUCCUCGGCGACGCACGCCACGACAAUCGGUGGUUGCGAAACCUCGGUUGCCCGUCGUGUGCGGUCGUCGCGCAUCGAGGGCUCGAAAAAAUUGCCGGGUUCCGGCUCGGCUUUCAACGCGACCCCAGGUCAGGCGGGGUUACCCGCUGAAUUUAAGCAUAUCAAUAAGCGGAGGA